This is a non-coding RNA of Lolium perenne, 287 nucleotides long. Lineage: Eukaryota; Viridiplantae; Streptophyta; Magnoliopsida; Poales; Poaceae. The record is from RefSeq and is a predicted model, not a curated record.
GAGGGUGCCAUGUCAAGAGUUACUUGCAAAAUAAUAUCUCGCACCACACACAAUAAACUCAACAUGGCAAUACUGUGACAGCUAUUAAGUAAAUAAUAAUAAUAACAAAACAUAUAUUACAACAACAAACCCUUUUGCCGCAAGCAGGUUGGGGUAGCUAGCAAAACAUAUAUUAGGCAAUCAAAAUAGAAAAACACAACAACCUAUUUGGGAGUAGAACUUCAUGAGCAGAUCAAACUGAAGAGUGAUUAUCUCAAGCUUGUAGAAACUAUGCAAAUGGAAACUAU